AGAGUUUGAUCAUGGCUCAAAGCGAACGCUGGCGGCAGGCCUAACACAUGCAAGUCGAGCGCCCCGCAAGGGGAGCGGCAGACGGGAGAGUAACACGUGGGAACAUGCCCUUCAGUACGGAACAACCAAGGGAAACUUUGGCUAAUACCGUAUACGCCCGUAAGGGGAAAGAUUUAUCGCUGAAGGAUUGGCCCGCGUCUGAUUAGCUAGUUGGUGGGGUAAUGGCCCACCAAGGCGACGAUCAGUAGCUGGUCUGAGAUGAUGAUCAGCCUCACUGGGACUGAGACACGGCCCAGACUCCUACGGGAGGCAGCAGUGGGGAAUAUUGGACAAUGGGCGCAAGCCUGAUCCAGCCAUGCCGCGUGAGUGAUGAAGGCCUUAGGGUUGUAAAGCUCUUUCGUCAGGGAAGAUAAUGACGGUACCUGAAGAAGAAGCCCCGGCUAACUUCGUGCCAGCCGCCACGGUAAUUC
This 470-nucleotide ribosomal RNA is filed under the name uncultured bacterium. Its description in RNAcentral is "bacterial SSU rRNA". It matches the Rfam family "Bacterial small subunit ribosomal RNA", at positions 8 to 526 of the family's 1533-position model. The record is from RNAcentral.